AAAGAGUUUGUUUCAACCUUGGUCCUAUCUGGUCACUCCCUCUCUCUCCUCUCCUCGACAUCUCCCUCUCUCUCCUCCCCCGCAUACAUAUGCGUUACGCUUCUCCUCCUCUCACUCCUCACUCCCCAGUCGGUGUUGAAAAAUCAAACCAAUUCUUGCUCUUUCUUAAAUCUCAAUCCUCCGAUCACGCUCUCUCUCUCUCUCCGUUUUUGGCUCUCCUCUCACAUUUCAGCUCCCAAAGACCGAACCUUUCCCGUACAAUGCUUUUACCCCUCCUUUCAAUUGAAUCGAAUUCACCCCCAAAACCUCAUUUCUGCUAAAAACCAAUGGACCUCGGUAAAUUACCCGAACCCGAGUCCAAUGCGCGGCCGGGCACCCGCUCGCGGCCCUUCGAAAUCGACCUCAACGAGACCCCCUUGCCCUCCCCCCGGGAAUUCCUCGCCGCCGCCGAGCCCGCCCAGCCGGCGGGUUUUUCCUGCGAGGGCCGGGGGAACUCGUCGGGCAACGGGAGCGAGAGGUUGCGGAGAGGAGUGAGGUUGUUCGACAUCAACGCGUCGCCGCCGCGGGAAGCGGACGGAGAGGGAUUCGUCGAGCAGAGCUACGGUGGAGGAGGCCUGGUGACGGUUGCCGAGCACAAUGCUGACAAAAUGCGCAUUGUGAGUGGCAUUCCGUUAAUUGGUCGAUCACUCAAUGCUCCAGAGACAACCUCAAAUAUGUUAUAUAGGGAGAAUGGAUUUAGUCUCCUAAAGGCAUCUCAUGGUUUAAUGCCAAUUCAAUCAAGUUUUGAAGAUAUAGUGCAACAAAGACUGCAUAAAACUUUAAAAGGAGUAGAUUUUAGUUCUCCGCUUAAUGGAGGGAUUUGGCUCAGCAAUGGUACACCUCAGAAUUUUAACACAAAGUAUCAACAUGAGGUGUAUCUUCAAGCUCUUAGAGAUUAUAUACAUGCAAAGCGAGGUCUAUUAGGCGAUGGAUGGGUUGUGGAAUUUGUUUAUUGUAAGAGCAGAUGUAAAACCUUUCCUGUGUACCAUGCACCUGAUGGAAGUAGGUUUGAGUCAAUGACUGACGUUGCUGGGCAUCUUGGAUUGCUGACAAACUAUCAUUCUUUAGAAACUGAGGAGAGAAGUGAUGGGCUUGCUUCGCUGCAGAAAAGAUUGCAUUUAGAUGGCAGACAGAAGGAAUUUUUGAGAUCCUCAAGAGCUAACUACAGACAAAAUCCUAAUAUUCUAACAAGCAGUUCUGUUGCGGGCAUCUCAUCGGGCAGUGGGAUCAUGGGUCAUGAAUUUGAGAGCUACAGAAAAAGUAAUCUGGAAGCUGACUUCAAGGAACAUGGUCGCCGUGGAUUUGAGCUAUUUCAGGAUGUAUGUCCAUUGCAGUUCGAAGAUCUCGUUGUUCUUUCUUUGGGUAAGGUUGAUCCCCGGCCCACAUACCAUAGCACCAACCAGAUCUGGCCUGUAGGUUUCCGGUCUUGCUGGCAUGACAAGAUUACUGGGUCCCUCUUUGUUUUUGAGGUUGUAGAUGGUGGUGAUGUGGGUCCUAGUUUUAAAGUAAAAAGAUAUCCAUGCUCCACACAGCCCGUUCCAAUUGGCACAACAGUCCUUUUGAGGCAAAAAUCUGACUCAAGAUAUGGGCGAGAUAAAGAACCAAAUGAUGAUUCAACUGCUUCUGGAAUGGAUGAUGAAGAGAGCAUGAGUAUAAAAAUGAUGCUAACAGAAGAUUGCCCACCACUUAUGGAAGAUGUUUUUUCCCGCAAGGUAAAUAGUUCAACAACAGCAUCCAGUUGCUUCCCAAAGAGCUACUUAACCGUCAUACCUGAUGAUCAAGGGUGGGUUGACUGUAUUGGUGAAUUUUCUGUUGAGGGAAGGUCAUGCUCAAUGGUAUGGGAUAUGGCCUCCCAAACUCUGCUACGUGCUUUCCAUGAGGUAUAUAAACGAGUAGGCAUACUAAAAUUUUUCUGUAAACAUAAUGUGAAUGAAGUGGAAGUUAAAGCAGCAGAAAAUAAUGAUUCUUUAUCCAAGUUCUGUCAUCUGUCUGGCCCCAGUGACAUUCCCCAUCUGGUUCAGAGCAAGAGUGACUUUGACUCUUGUCUUAAAAUGAUUGUGAAGUGGUUACAAGAAGACAGAUUUGGGUUAGACACAGAAUUCGUACAGGAAAUCUUGGAGCAGCUUCCUGGGAUUGAUGGCUGUCUAGACUAUAAAUUUCUGAGUGAAAGAGGUCAGAAUUCAGGUUCACAAACAGUCAGAAGUGGGUUCCUUUUGGUUAAGAGGAAGAGAGAUGUUCAAGGUGGUAAAGUAGCUGAUGGUUUUCUCUUAAGUUGUAAAAGACCCCGAAAGCAGUUCGUUGAAGAAUCAGAGAUCAAAAGAUCCUUCCCUUCAGGAAAGCAACUAAGUUCAAAGCUUCCUGCAUGUUUGAUUGGUGACGUCGUUCAGGCUUGGGAAUUUCUGUGGCGUUUCUCAGAAGUUAUAGGCUUGGAGGAAACUUUAUCAUUCCAGGAACUUGAAAAUGAACUGAUGAAUCCUUGGUUAGAAAACAUAAAUCCACUAGAAGGGUCUGGAAAUGAAACCCUAAUUUGUGGAGAUUUCACCUUGUGUACUGGUGCAGCAUUGAGAAAGGCCCACAGCUCACUGCUGAAAGUGUUGGUGCGUGAACUUCUUUUAAAAGUUGCAGGGUAUGUAGACCCUAAUUCUGAUGCUGGCGAAGGUAAGUCGAGAAGAGGUAGGAAGAAAGACGCAGAUAACUUAUUUGCUUCGAAGAAAAUGAAGCUUGAUAUGCUCCAGAUCAAUGAGCUUACUUGGCCUGAACUGGCUAGGCGGUACAUCCUAGUGUUCUUAUCCAUGGAGGGUAACCUUGACGCUGGAGAGAUUACUUGCCGUGAAAGCAGUAAAAUCUUUCAUUGUUUACGAGGUGAUGGAGGAGCACUUUGUGGUUCUCUUUCUGGAGUGGCAGGAAUGGAGGCCGAUGCGCGGUUUCUUGCAGAGGCUUCAUCAAAAGUGUUUGGUUUGGUGAAGAAAAAUGACUUUGUUGGCAUGAGUCAAGACAAGCCUGAUACAGUGAGCUCUCCCAAAUUGAAUACGGAGAGUGACAACGAAGUCCCUGAGUGGGUGCUUGCACUAGAACCUGCAAGAAAGCUACCCACCAAUGUUGGAGCCAGAAUAAGGAAGUGUGUGUACGAUGCUUUAAAUAAAAACCCUCCAGAAUGGGCAAAACAGAUAUUGGUACAUUCAAUUAGCAAGGAAGUUUACAAGGGGAAUGCAUCAGGGCCUACAAAGAGAGCAAUUGUUUCGGUGCUUGCGGAGGCGAACCACAAAGAUUUGCAGCCCAAACCUGAUAAGAAAGAGAAAGUGAAGAGUGUGAGCACUCUAUCUGACUUAAUAAUGAAGCAGUGCCGUAUCGUGCUGCGGCGUAUUAUUGCUGAAGAUGAAGAAAAGGUCUUCUGCAAUCUCUUGGGAAGAACACUUCUUAACCAUAAUGAUAACGAUGAUGAGGGGCUUCUUGGACAUCCUGCAAUGGUGUCUCGUCCUUUGGACUUCAGGACUAUUGAUAUCAGGUUGGCUGGGGGGGCCUAUGGUGGAUCCCAUGAAGCUUUCCGUGAUGAUGUUCACGAGGUUUGGAAUAUUCUACGCACCGCAUACGCAGAUCAAUCUGAUGUGGUUGAUUUGGUUGAAUCAUUAUCCCAAAAGUUUGAUUUUAUGUAUGAUAAAGAGGUUCUCCCUGUGGCGAAGAAGUUCACUGAGAAAGCCAGUUCCCUGUGCAUAAGCGAUGAAGCUCAAAAAGAGAUUGAUGAAAUGCUUAUGCAUGCAAAUGAGAGCUCAAUUCCCAAAGCUCCCUGGGAUGAGGGUGUAUGCAAAGUAUGUGGAAUAGACAAAGAUGAUGACAAUGUCCUGUUGUGCGAUACUUGCGAUUCAGAAUAUCAUACAUAUUGCUUAUGUCCUCCACUUACAAGAAUACCUGAAGGAAAUUGGUAUUGCCCUUCUUGUGUUGCUGGUCAGUCCAAGUCUAAAGGCCUAUCCCAUGGCACACAGGUUAAGUGGCGCCGGAAGAAGAGAUAUCAGGGAGACUUCACUCGACAUUUUAUGGAGACAUUGUCUCGAUUAGCUAGAACUAUGGGGUCGAAAGAGUACUGGGAUUUCAGUGUAGAAGAGAGAACAUUCCUCAUAAAAUUCUUUUGUGAUGAGACAUUGAACACAAGUAUUAUCCGUGACCACCUAGAUCAUUGUGCCUGUACGUCUGCUGAUUUGCAGCAGAAACUGCGCUCGCUUUCUGCAGAGUUGAAGAACCUAAAAUUAAGGGAAGAAAUUCUAGCUGCAAACGUGGAAAAAGCAAAUGCUGUGGACAAUAGAGCUGGAGUCUUGACUCCAGAUGGUAAACUAUUGGGAAAGAUGCCUAAUAGAGGAAACAAUGUUUCUUUUCCACAGUUAGAGGAUGGCCCAAAUGUUAACGGUGAGCAACCUUACUUGCCUCUUUCGAAAAGCAAUUCAGAGCAACAUCAUACUAGUAGUGGAAGUAAAAUUAGUAGCAAUAGUUCAUUGGUGGCCCCUUGUCAAGUUCCACAAGGACUUGUCUCAUCAGAUGGCAUUAGAACCAAUGUCACUGAAAAUGUACCUUUUGUGGCAGUGAACACAGAAUCUAUGCUUAAUGGCCACCAUUCCUCUUUUCCUUCUGCUGAAAGUGCAUUUCAAGAUGGUAACCAGGAAAUGAGUUCGUUAAAGCAUGAGAUUUCUGUUCUAAGGGAUUCAAUGGCUAGGCUUGAAUAUGAACUGCAGAAGGUUUCUACAAGGAAGGAAUGUUUGGGGAGGGACUCUAAUGGAAGGAUAUACUGGGGUUUUGAAAGGGCAGAUUCUUCACCACUGUUGGUGGUUAAUGGAAGUAUGGAGAAUCCUUCGAGUUCAAGAGGACCAAAAGUUUCAUGGGUUUCGUACCAAUCUGAUCCUGAAAUUGGACAAAUAGUUGGGUGGCUGAGGGAUGGUGAUGCAACAGAGAGAGAACUGAAAGAGUCCAUUUUGCAUUGGCAAAGAAAUAUGCCAAAAGACUCAAAAAAUACUGAAAACCCUGUUCAAAAUGAGAAACAAUCAAGUUUUCUGGUAACCAAGGCUGUGGCUGCUUUGGAGAAGAAGUAUGGUCCUGGGUUGGCAUCACAGGCUGCAGACAUGUCAGAGAAGCGAGUGCAAAAAAGUAAUGUGUACCGCUGUGAGUGCCUAGAACCUAUCUGGUCUUCUAAACACCACUGUGUAUCAUGCCACCAAACGUAUUCCAGUAGUGAGGAACUAGAAAGAAGGCAUAGUGAUGGAAAGUGCAGUGGGGGUUCAAUUAUCACUACGACUAAGAAGGUAAAUGAGGAUUCUACUAAGGGAAAGAAGGUGGCGGCUGAAACCUCAGUAAAAAAGCGCCCUAGCAACGGAAAUGGUAAACCCUCGAGAGGUGAAAAGAAGGAAAUCGGAUUUAAUGAGAGUAAAUUUCCGGAGCCUGGGUGUCCUUAUGACUUUGAGGAGAUUAGGUCAAAGUUUGUCCCGCAAAAUUCUCUUAAGGACUUGGUCAAAGAUGUAGGGCUUAUUCGAUCUAGUGGGACUCCAUCAUUUGUGCCGAGUGCAUCUCCUUGUGUGAAUGACCCCGCCUUAAGACUGGUCUCCACAAAUAAAAAUGAGGCCGUUGGUGGAAAUGAAUCAAUACAAGGGACCAACAUUGAAGGGGAUACAGAAAGUUAUUUCGACAACUUUCCAACAUAUGUUGGAAGUGAAAGAGAUGAGGCAUCAAAUGUUGAGAGGUUUGUACCUGCGUACACUAACGAAGGGUAUCAGUUGUCGGGAUUUAAGAGGAAAAGUGCUUGCAUAAUUCCUGAAUCCUCGUUGAGGCGAUUAGUAGGUAGGGUUACUCAAAUUCUUAGACAGCUCAAGAUCAACUUGCUUGACAUGGACGCUGCACUUUCUGAUGAAGCUCUAAGACCUUCUAUGGCCCACUUGGAAAAAAGAUUUGCUUGGCGUGCAUUUGUGAAAUCUGCAGGUUCAAUCUACGAGAUGGUCCAAGCUACAGUCUUGCUCGAGAACAUGAUCAAAGCAGACUAUCUGAAGAAGGAUUGGUGGUAUUGGUCUUCUCUCUCAUCUGCAGCCACCAUUUCUACUCUAUCUGCCCUUGCUCUUCGUGUCUAUACAUUAGAUGCCGCUAUCAUCUUUGAAAAGCCUUCUUCACCCGCUUCUGAUUCAACAGAAAUUCCAAAGCCAGGAGGGCCAGAGGCAGAAGGAACAACUUCCAAGUUGGAUACACCAAACGACCCAAUACUAAAGACCAGUAAUGAUCCGACUGAGAAUUCAAAACCCAAAAGCAGAUCGAGUAGGAGAAAGAAAGACUCGGGGGGUUAAUAUAGUUGUAAAAUUUAUGGUCUCUUGAAUCGGUCAUUUUGGAAAGUGAAGUAGAAGCAGGUUUGACUCUUCCUUCCGAAUGCCGAAGGUGUUUUGGUCAAUGGGGUUGUCCCUGAAGUUGGGAGGCUUGAGGAUUCUCCUGCAGUGGUCGGUCGUCUGUAGAUAUAUGAGGCAAAGCUGAUAAUUAUACAGAUAGGGGAUGAAGAUCCAGAAGUGGCUGAUACUGAAGCUCUAUCCAAAAGGGAGAAGUUGCUGUCAUCCUAUAAGGAGCGAAGUGACAAAAUCCACAUCUAGGUACAAAGGAAUCAAAAUCUGAUGUAUAAAAGGAAUAGGGAUUUUGAUCUUGAGAAGUUCUGUAACCUGUAGAGAAUGGAGCGAGUAAGAGCAAGAAACGGCUCUGUUCCAAUUUUGAGGUUUUUACUUCAUGUUGACACAGGAAUGCUGCCUUUUGUGAGUUCCCCGGCAUUCUGUAUGAGGAGAAAAGCAUAUCGAGAGUUCUCUGGCAUCUGAAUUUUGAGAAAUCACUAUAUUAGGUCCAGUGAUGUGUUCUGGUCGUAUAAUCUUCUUCAUUUCGGUACUGUUGUGUGUACUGUUUCAGUCAUCGAGCCAGGAUCUUCAAUUGGGGGUUGCUUAUGCAGGCACAUCCUUUCAUCCCGUAAUGUUGAGGAGCAAAUUAGGAAAAAUUGGAAGAACAAGGUAAACUUAUUUGAAUUUUGAGGGGGCUAAAACUAAU
Molecule: RNA transcript, 7083 nt
Organism: Rhododendron vialii
Lineage: Eukaryota; Viridiplantae; Streptophyta; Magnoliopsida; Ericales; Ericaceae
Gene name: methyl-CpG-binding domain-containing protein 9-like
Exons: 11
Source: RefSeq, a predicted model, not a curated record